AAAAACAGAAGAGGAGCGUUACCCAGGUAUCUAUGUUGCGGGGCCCCACCCCAAGGCAGCAUAAGAGAGGGGGAGUAACGCCGAGAUACUGCCGGACAGGGGGCCUGCAGUAUCGGCCACGAAGGUUGAAUCCUUCUGGCUGUCACCUUUCUCGAGUGAAAGGUGGGGAGCUUCUGGUUGU
RNAcentral lists this non-coding RNA (181 nucleotides) under Photobacterium sp. RNAcentral describes it as "Lysine sequence". It matches the Rfam family "Lysine riboswitch aptamer". Rfam says of the family: Riboswitches are metabolite binding domains within certain messenger RNAs that serve as precision sensors for their corresponding targets. Allosteric rearrangement of mRNA structure is mediated by ligand binding, and this results in modulation of gene expression. This family includes riboswitches that sense lysine in a number of genes involved in lysine metabolism, including lysC. RNAcentral also lists the same sequence under 1 other name. Lineage: Bacteria; Pseudomonadati; Pseudomonadota; Gammaproteobacteria; Vibrionales; Vibrionaceae. The record is from RNAcentral.